Molecule: unclassified non-coding RNA, 334 nt
Filed under: soil metagenome
Description: partial contains 5.8S ribosomal RNA, internal transcribed spacer 2, and large subunit ribosomal RNA
Rfam family: 5.8S ribosomal RNA (bases 1-120)
Source: RNAcentral
GAUGAAGAACGUAGCGAAAUGCGAUAAGUAAUGUGAAUUGCAGAAUUCAGUGAAUCAUCGAAUCUUUGAACGCACAUUGCGCCCGCCAGUAUUCUGGCGGGCAUGCCUGUUCGAGCGUCAUUUCAACCAUCAAGCCCCCGGCUUGUGUUGGGGACCUGCGGCUGCCGCAGGCCCUGAAAACCAGUGGCGGGCUCGCUAGUCACUCCGAGCGUAGUAAUACAUCUCGCUCAGGGCGUGCUGCGGGUUCCGGCCGUUAAAAAGCCUUAUUUACCCAAGGUUGACCUCGGAUCAGGUAGGAAGACCCGCUGAACUUAAGCAUAUAAUAAGCGGAGGA